GCGUGGUGUUGGUCUCCCUGAUAAUGAGGCUGCAUUAAGCAUCCACUCGUUCCUGAAUAGUAAUUGGAAAGCAUUCGAUUUUAGAGUUUCCUACUUGAAAAGGAAUCACUGAAUCAGGCUUCUACCAAAUUAGGGCUUCCAUUUUGUCAAAUGGAUUUUCUGGUCUGCGUAUUUGAAAGGGCAGAGAUGAGAGACAGCGGUGUUGUG
RNAcentral lists this unclassified non-coding RNA (207 nucleotides) under Hevea brasiliensis (rubber tree). Lineage: Eukaryota; Viridiplantae; Streptophyta; Magnoliopsida; Malpighiales; Euphorbiaceae. The record is from RNAcentral.